CCAAUAGCGUAUAUUAAAGUUGUUGCAGUUAAAAAGCUCGUAGUUGAACUUCGGGGUCUACCCAUUGGUCAGGCUUAAUUGUCUGCACUGGUGAGAUGGAUCUCUACCUUCUGAGGAACUUUCAUGCCAUUUAUUUGGUGUGAUGGGAAAUCAGGACUGUUACUUUGAAAAAAUUAGAGUGUUUAAAGCAGACUAUCGUCUGAAUACAUUAGCAUGGAAUAAUGAAAUAGGACGGACUGAUUCUAUUUCGUUGGUUUCUAGGAUCACCGUAAUGAUUAAUAGGGAUAGUUGGGGGCAUUAGUAUUCAAUUGUCAGAGGUGAGAUUCUUGGAUUUAUUGAAGACUAACUACUGCGAAAGCAUUUGCCAAGGAUGUUUUCAUUAAUCAAGAACGAAAGUUAGGGGAUCGAAGACGAUCAGAUACCGUCGUAGUCUUAACCAUAAACUAUGCCGACUAGGGAUCGGACGAAGUUAAUUUUAUAAUGACGCGUUCGGCACCUUACG
Molecule: ribosomal RNA, 502 nt
Filed under: uncultured Glomeromycotina
Lineage: Eukaryota; Fungi; Glomeromycota
Description: partial small subunit ribosomal RNA
Rfam family: Eukaryotic small subunit ribosomal RNA
Source: RNAcentral